This 425-nucleotide ribosomal RNA is filed under the name uncultured bacterium. Its description in RNAcentral is "bacterial SSU rRNA". It matches the Rfam family "Bacterial small subunit ribosomal RNA", at positions 355 to 772 of the family's 1533-position model. The record is from RNAcentral.
UGGGGAAUUUUGGACAAUGGGCGCAAGCCUGAUCCAGCCAUUCCGCGUGCAGGAUGAAGGCCCUCGGGUUGUAAACUGCUUUUGUACGGAACGCAAAGGCUUCCUCUAAUACGCGGAGCUCAUGACGGUACCGUAAGAAUAAGCACCGGCUAACUACGUGCCAGCCGCCGCGGUAAUACGUAGGGUGCAAGCGUUAAUCGGAAUUACUGGGCGUAAAGCGUGCGCAGGCGGUUUUGUAAGACAGGUGUGAAAUCCCCGGGCUUAACCUGGGAACUGCAUUUGUGACUGCAAGGCUGGAGUGCGGCAGAGGGGGAUGGAAUUCCGCGUGUAGCAGUGAAAUGCGUAGAUAUGCGGAGGAACACCGAUGGCGAAGGCAAUCCCCUGGGCCUGCACUGACGCUCAUGCACGAAAGCGUGGGGAGCAAA